RNAcentral lists this ribosomal RNA (427 nucleotides) under uncultured bacterium. Its description in RNAcentral is "partial 16S ribosomal RNA". It matches the Rfam family "Bacterial small subunit ribosomal RNA", at positions 355 to 774 of the family's 1533-position model. The record is from RNAcentral.
UGGGGAAUAUUGCACAAUGGGCGCAAGCCUGAUGCAGCCAUGCCGCGUGUAUGAAGAAGGCCUUCGGGUUGUAAAGUACUUUCCGCGGGGAGGAAGGUGUUGUGGUUAAUAACCACAGCAAUUGACGUUACCCGCAGAAGAAGCACCGGCUAACUCCGUGCCAGCAGCCGCGGUAAUACGGAGGGUGCAAGCGUUAAUCGGAAUUACUGGGCGUAAAGCGCACGCAGGCGGUCUGUCAAGUCGGAUGUGAAAUCCCCGGGCUCAACCUGGGAACUGCAUCCGAAACUGGCAGGCUUGAGUCUUGUAGAGGGGGGUAGAAUUCCAGGUGUAGCGGUGAAAUGCGUAGAGAUCUGGAGGAAUACCGGUGGCGAAGGCGGCCCCCUGGACAAAGACUGACGCUCAGGUGCGAAAGCGUGGGGAGCAAACA